UACGGAGGGUGCAAACGUUGCUCGGAAUCAUUGGGCGUAAAGCGCACGUAGGCGGUCCAGCAAGUCGGGUGUGAAAGCCCUCGGCUUAACCGAGGAAGUGCAUUCGAAACUACAGGACUUGAAUACUGGAGAGGAUCGCGGAAUUCCCGGUGUAGAGGUGAAAUUCGUAGAUAUCAGGAAGAACACCCGUGGCGAAGGCGGCUCUCUGGGACGGUACUGACGCUGAGACGCGAAAGCGUGGGGAGCGAACAGG
Molecule: ribosomal RNA, 253 nt
Filed under: uncultured bacterium
Lineage: Bacteria
Description: partial 16S ribosomal RNA
Rfam family: Bacterial small subunit ribosomal RNA
Source: RNAcentral